Small nuclear RNA from Microtus ochrogaster (prairie vole), 158 nucleotides. Its record names the gene U1. It matches the Rfam family "U1 spliceosomal RNA". From Rfam's summary of the family: U1 is a small nuclear RNA (snRNA) component of the spliceosome (involved in pre-mRNA splicing). Its 5' end forms complementary base pairs with the 5' splice junction, thus defining the 5' donor site of an intron. NCBI's taxonomy places the organism in Eukaryota, Metazoa, Chordata, Mammalia, Rodentia, Cricetidae. The record is from Ensembl.
AUACUUACCUGGCAGGGGAGAUACCAUGACCAUGAAGGUGGUUUUGCCAGGGCGAGGCUUAUCCAUUGCACUCAGGAUGUGCUGACGCCUGUGAUUUCCCUAAAUGCGGGUAACUCUACUGCAUAAUUUGUGGGGGACUGCGUUCGCGCUCUCCCCUG